AGGAGGAUUAAUACCGGAUGUGGCCACCCUGCGAUUGCUGGGGAAGCUAAAGGAUUUAUUCACUUCCCGAGGGGCUCGCGGUCCAUCAGCUUGUGGGUGAGGGUAACGGCCCACCAAGGCGAGAACGGGUAGCUGGUCGUGAGAGGAUGGUCAGCCACACUGGAAGCUGAGACACGGUCCAGACACCUACGGGUGGCAGCAGAUCGAGAAUCAUUCGCAAUGGGGGAAACCCUGACGAUGCGACGCCGCGUGGAGGAUGAAGGCCUUAGGGUUGUAAACUCCUGCUCAAGAGGGAAUAAGCAAUGUGAAGGUACCUCUAGAGGAAGGGGCGGCUAAUUCCGUGCCAUCAGCCGGGGUAACACGGAAGCCCCGAGCGUUGUCCGGAUUCAUUGGGCGUACAGGGUGCGUAGGCGGCGCGGAAAGUCCGGCGUGAAAGGCGGAGGCUCAGCCUCUGGACUGCGUUGGAUACUUCCGUGCUUGAGGACUGGAGGGGAUACUGGAAUUCACGGUGUAGCAGUGAAAUGCGUAGAUAUCGUGAGGAACACCGGUGGCGAAGGCGAGUCUCUGGACAGAUCCUGACGCUGAGGCACGAAGGCU
RNAcentral lists this ribosomal RNA (597 nucleotides) under uncultured organism. RNAcentral's name for it is "bacterial SSU rRNA". It matches the Rfam family "Bacterial small subunit ribosomal RNA", at positions 156 to 761 of the family's 1533-position model. The record is from RNAcentral.